UUUAAUUCAAAAUGGGUAAAUGGAUGAAAUUAUAAGUAAGGUAAUAUAGCUACUGUAACAAGCCCAGAUGAGUCUGCAAAGGUAACGGUAAAAUCGGCCCUUUAUCAAUCUAAAGAAGGCUUAUUUGGAAAACCAUAUGUAUUAAAAUACGUGGUAAAACGUAUUGUAUGGUGGAAGGGGACUUGUUUUGGGUCGACAUUAACAAUAAAGUAGCGGUCAAGAUACUAAGUAUGCCUGCGUCGAGUGCAGCAACAUAAAGAAGCUUCAGCACCUACAGCUUUAUUUACACUCUGAAAAGAAAUCUGCUUACUGCUGAAUGAGCUGAUAAAAUAAGUUUAAUUGCUCAUCAUUUAAAAUUAUUAGAUUCCUAGGAACUAGGUAGAUCUAGAACUAGAAACAUUUAAGAAGAGAAAGAAAGUUAGGAGUAACCAAAGAAAUUGUAUAACAAUUUAUUUUAGUUAUACAAUUUCUUUGGGAGUAAUAUCUAAUCUGUGGUACAAGAAGACGUCAUCAAUCACAGUUUAUUAUAACCAAGUUGCAUUAAAUUAUGUACUCAAGAAGUAAUAUAUCCCAUAAUAGAAGUAAUAAAAUAUAAUAUAAAAUAAUAAUCUUAAUGUCUAAAUCAUUUGCAUUAUUAGAUUUUAUUGUUUAACAAUAAAUUUAAAAUUAAUUGUUCACAAUAUUUUAGUAGUCACUUAGCGCCACCUAUUAUUUAAUAGCUAUACAUGUAUUCAUUUCUAUCAUUUGUAAGUACACACCAUAUGCUAAGAAUGCACUGUACAUUUUUUGCAUUUCUGCUUCAACUUUAAAGCUUACUGCUAAUUGAGAAAUUGAUUUAAUUUUUGUAUGGAUUCUUAUCAAAAGAUUAAUCGAUUAGGAGUGUUAUUUUAUAUUAUAUAUAAUUUGACGUAACAUUUUUAUCUACAAAUUUAUGAGUUAUUUAAGUUCCAAUUAAUUACUGAUUACGAGCCAAUAAGGCAAAAUGUAUCGAAUUUGUUUUUUAUUUAUUUUUAUGUUAAAAUCAUCACAUAGUUUAGAAUUAAAUGAUGAUUUUAAUCAAAACAUUUGGAAUGUUACAAUAAACUUGGCAGAUUCAAAGAUUUUCAUGGAUGAGACUGAAAUGAUUGGUUUUAAUCUUACAGGUCCUUUUAAUGACAAUAACUAUUUUUUAACAAUAAAAUCAACCAACC
Molecule: non-coding RNA, 1190 nt
Organism: Onthophagus taurus
Lineage: Eukaryota; Metazoa; Arthropoda; Insecta; Coleoptera; Scarabaeidae
Source: RefSeq, a predicted model, not a curated record